Molecule: long non-coding RNA, 753 nt
Organism: Oncorhynchus nerka (sockeye salmon)
Lineage: Eukaryota; Metazoa; Chordata; Actinopteri; Salmoniformes; Salmonidae
Exons: 3
Source: RefSeq, a predicted model, not a curated record
UUCCAAAAUCCAAAUAGGAUUAUCUAAACUAUCCUUAAACACACACACACACACACACUCUCUUCCCUCUUGCAUACAAGCAUGUACACUCAUCGUUUGAACGGUGAAUUAUUAACUCAGAAGAGCAAGGAAAAUUACAAAUGACAGCUUCACCUCCAGUCAAAUAGCAAACCGACAUGUCUUUUGUCAAUUUAACUAUCAGCUUCGUGCAGAUGUACAAGAAAGAAAACAACAUCUGCAGCCAUGAAGUUGUAAACACAUCAAUUGGAUAGCAGCUUAGGGAUCUGAUAUUUUCAGCCUGCAAUCAAUCAGCCUUCCAGACUUUUGAAUAUGGGACAUUUAUCAUCCUAAGAUUGAAAGGAGAUGACUGUGGACUACAGGAAAAGGAGGACUGAGCCCGCCUCCAUUCUCAUCGACGGGUCUGUAGUGGAGCAGGUUGAGUGAGAGUUUCAAGUUCCUUGGUGUCCACGUCACCAACAAACGAACAUGGUCCAAGCACACCAAGAAAACCUGUUCCCCCUCAGGAGACUGAAAAGAUUUGGCAUGGGUCCUCAAAAGGGGAGCCUGACAUUGUAGUGCAAAGCUGAACGCCGCUGUGAGGGGAGACCAGGAACCGGACAAAGUGAAGGAAAGAAAAAGAAAAGCGUGAGACAAAAAGAAAGACAGAAAGCAAGCUGCAAUUAGAGAGGCUUUCUGUGUGGCUUUACUGGCCGUGGUGGGCUCCUAGCCUAGUUUAUUGUUCCCCCAGAUGCU